UACGGAGGGGCUAGCGUUGUUCGGAAUUACUGGGCGUAAAGCGCACGUAGGCGGCUUUGUAAGUUAGAGGUGAAAGCCCAGGGCUUAACCCUGGAAUUGCCUUUAAGACUGCAUCGCUAGAAUCGUGGAGAGGUGAGUGGAAUUCCGAGUGUAGAGGUGAAAUUCGUAGAUAUUCGGAAGAACACCAGUGGCGAAGGCGACUCACUGGACACGUAUUGAUGCUGAGGUGCGAAAGCGUGGGGAGCAAACAGGG
RNAcentral lists this ribosomal RNA (253 nucleotides) under uncultured bacterium. RNAcentral describes it as "partial 16S ribosomal RNA". It matches the Rfam family "Bacterial small subunit ribosomal RNA", at positions 524 to 777 of the family's 1533-position model. The record is from RNAcentral.